CCUACGGGAGGCUGCAGUGGGGAAUAUUGGACAAUGGGGGAAACCCUGAUCCAGCGACGCCGCGUGAGUGAAGAAGUAUUUCGGUACGUAAAGCUCUAUCAGCAGGAAAGAAAAUGACGGUACCUGACUAAGAAGCCCCGGCCAACUACGUGCCAGCAGCCGCGGCAAUACGUAGGGGGCAAGCGUGAUCCGGAUUUACGGGGUGUUAAGGGGGCGUAGACGGCAGCGCGAGUAUGGAGUGAAAUGCCGGGGUCCAACCCCAGAACUGGUGUGGAAACUGUGAAGCUGGAGUGCAGGAGAGGUAAGUGGAAUUCCUGGUGUAGCGGUGAAAUGCGUAGAUAUAAGGAGGAACACCGGCGGCGAAGGCGGCUUACUGGACUGUAACUGACGUUGAGGCUCGAAGGCGUGGGGAGCAAACAGGAUUAGAGACCCCUGUAGUC
This 440-nucleotide ribosomal RNA is filed under the name uncultured bacterium. Its description in RNAcentral is "partial 16S ribosomal RNA". It matches the Rfam family "Bacterial small subunit ribosomal RNA", at positions 338 to 795 of the family's 1533-position model. The record is from RNAcentral.